Long non-coding RNA from Zingiber officinale, 275 nucleotides. RefSeq lists it as uncharacterized. The record is from RefSeq and is a predicted model, not a curated record. The transcript has 2 exons. NCBI's taxonomy places the organism in Eukaryota, Viridiplantae, Streptophyta, Magnoliopsida, Zingiberales, Zingiberaceae.
CCUCCACUUUCACCUUCUCAUCUUUCUCUUGCACCGUUGCGGCCUUCACUCGAUUCAACCUCCUAUACACACAGCAGCAGCGUUUCGUCAAAAACCCUUUUCUAAGAAGUCACAGGGAGAAUCAAAUCAACAAAAAGCGGAAGUAACCAUACCGAUCGAAGAAAGAAAACAACGAAUCAACAAAAAGACAGAAGCUUGAGCUAUCCAAAAGGGCACAACGGAAGCUUCCUUCGUGCAGGAAAAAAAAAAAAGACCCCUCUUUCAUGGCAAAACAC